GUGUCAGCCGCCGCGGUAAUACGGAGGGUGCGAGCGUUGUCCGGAAUCAUUGGGCGUAAAGGGCGCGUAGGUGGCCCGGUCAGUUCGUGGUGAAAGCGCGGGGCUCAACCCUGCGUCGGCCAUGAAUACUGCCGCGGCUGGAGCACUGUAGAGGCAGGCGGAAUUCCGGGUGUAGCGGUGGAAUGCGUAGAGAUCCGGAAGAACACCGGUGGCGAAGGCGGCCUGCUGGGCAGUUGCUGACACUGAGGCGCGACAGCGUGGGGAGCAAACAGGAUUAGAAACCCCCGUAGUCC
This 293-nucleotide ribosomal RNA is filed under the name uncultured bacterium. RNAcentral's name for it is "partial 16S ribosomal RNA". It matches the Rfam family "Bacterial small subunit ribosomal RNA", at positions 505 to 796 of the family's 1533-position model. The record is from RNAcentral.